GUUAACAAUUUAGUUACUGCAUAUAGCAAACAGCAGUUAAAAAUACUUCAGGUAUGUAAUUUCUUCUUUCAGCUUUACAUAGUUUUCCUAACACAUGACUGUUGAAAGAGAUUUUUAUGAGUGGUUUUUUUUUUUCCAGUUGCUUUGCUGUACGACUUCACCUUUGAAUUCUUCAAGCUGACAGAAGCUUCGGUAGCUCAGUGUAACAGAAGCUCCUGCUGUUAGUCCCACUACAGCAUCUUAAUUGCAAACCAGAGAUGAUAGCUCAUGUUCAAAGAGCACAGACAGAGCUACAGCAGCAAGGGGUGAAGAAUGAAGAUGGAGGAUGGCAAUAUGUGUUCCUAGAGCAGCUUGUUAGAUCUCAGAAGGAGGAGCAAGGGAAGCUCUGCCUGCCACACAGAUAUGAACUGCACCUUACUGAUAAUGGUGAACCUUGA
This 437-nucleotide long non-coding RNA is filed under the name Ficedula albicollis (Collared flycatcher). Its description in RNAcentral is "lncRNA (ENSFALG00000029071.1)". The record is from RNAcentral. Lineage: Eukaryota; Metazoa; Chordata; Aves; Passeriformes; Muscicapidae.